Helianthus annuus (common sunflower) is the source of this 173-nucleotide long non-coding RNA. RefSeq lists it as uncharacterized. Lineage: Eukaryota; Viridiplantae; Streptophyta; Magnoliopsida; Asterales; Asteraceae. The transcript is spliced from 3 exons. The record is from RefSeq and is a predicted model, not a curated record.
CCCUAGAUCGAUGGUUUUUUCUGUCGAAUCCACAUCUCAGGGUUUCUUUCUCCAGCGAUGACCCUUGAGCGAUGGAUUUCACCGGCGUUUUCAAAUCUCAGGGUUUCUUUCUCCGGCGAUAACCCUAGAGAUAGAUGGAUUUCACCGGCGUUUUCACAUCUCAAGUACUAUCU